UACGUAGGGGGCUAGCGUUGUCCGGAUUUAUUGGGCGUAAAGAGCGUGUAGGCGGCCAGGUAGGUCUGCUGUGAAAACUCGAGGCUCAACCUCGAGACGGCGGCGGAAACCAUCUGGCUAGAGUCCGGAAGAGGAGAGUGGAAUUCCUGGUGUAGCGGUGAAAUGCGCAGAUAUCAGGAAGAACACCCGUGGCGAAGGCGGCUCCCUGGGCCGGUACUGACGCUGAGACGCGAAAGCGUGGGGAGCGAACAGG
Molecule: ribosomal RNA, 253 nt
Filed under: uncultured bacterium
Lineage: Bacteria
Description: partial 16S ribosomal RNA
Rfam family: Bacterial small subunit ribosomal RNA
Source: RNAcentral